Molecule: ribosomal RNA, 238 nt
Filed under: uncultured bacterium
Lineage: Bacteria
Description: partial 16S ribosomal RNA
Rfam family: Bacterial small subunit ribosomal RNA
Source: RNAcentral
CGUUGCUCGGAAUCACUGGGCGUAAAGGGCGCGUAGGCGGCCGAUUAAGUCGGGGGUGAAAGCCUGUGGCUCAACCACAGAAUUGCCUUCGAUACUGGUUGGCUUGAGACCGGAAGAGGACAGCGGAACUGCGAGUGUAGAGGUGAAAUUCGUAGAUAUUCGCAAGAACACCAGUGGCGAAGGCGGCUGUCUGGUCCGGUUCUGACGCUGAGGCGCGAAAGCGUGGGGAGCAAUCAGG